This 486-nucleotide unclassified non-coding RNA is filed under the name Hevea brasiliensis (rubber tree). Lineage: Eukaryota; Viridiplantae; Streptophyta; Magnoliopsida; Malpighiales; Euphorbiaceae. The record is from RNAcentral.
GGCCAGUAUUUGAGAUACCACUACUUGAUUGUUCUUGGAAGCAACCUUCUCAUUUCCAUUUUUUUUUCUGCUUGUGGCAUGCCAUUCAGUAAUGUAUGUGAUCUCUGAUGUCCGUCAAACAAUUUAAACUACUUUUAAGUUUUACAUAACCGCAAAAGUAUCACAAAAAUGCAAAAUGGAGACUUAAUUAGACUUACCAGCUGGCUUCAAACAAGAUAAGGCAGUACAUCCUGUUUUAAGCUUUGAAAUCUAUCCUUCUCAUCUAAAACUUCUUGCAGAACAGGCCCAAAAAACAUCAACAGGAAAAAUGAGGAUUAUGGACGCCUGAUAAAAAGAAACUCUGAAGCCAAGACAGCUGAAAAAGGCAAACCUCUUGAAUGCAUACAUAUAAGCAUCCAUAAGAUCAGAUGGUAUUCCAUCUAAUGAAAAAUAUUUAAAAAGAAGAUUAGAGUAAGAAGCAAGCAAAUUUUCUAAAUACAUUCCCAU